RNAcentral lists this ribosomal RNA (301 nucleotides) under uncultured bacterium. RNAcentral's name for it is "partial 16S ribosomal RNA". It matches the Rfam family "Bacterial small subunit ribosomal RNA", at positions 509 to 809 of the family's 1533-position model. The record is from RNAcentral.
CAGCAGCCGCGGGAACACAGAGGGUGCGAGCGUUAAUCGGAUUUACUGGGCGUAAAGCGUGCGUAGGCGGCUUUUUAAGUCGGAUGUGAAAUCCCUGAGCUUAACUUAGGAAUUGCAUUCGAUACUGGGAAGCUAGAGUAUGGGAGAGGAUGGUAGAAUUCCAGGUGUAGCGGUGAAAUGCGUAGAGAUCUGGAGGAAUACCGAUGGCGAAGGCAGCCAUCUGGCCUAAUACUGACGCUGAGGUACGAAAGCAUGGGGAGCAAACAGGAUUAGAUACCCCCGUAGUCCCUGUCUCUUAUAA